GAUGAACGCUGGCGGCGUGCCUAAUACAUGCAAGUCGAGCGAACAGACGAGGAGCUUGCUCCUCUGACGUUAGCGGCGGACGGGUGAGUAACACGUGGAUAACCUACCUAUAAGACUGGGAUAACUUCGGGAAACCGGAGCUAAUACCGGAUAAUAUAUUGAACCGCAUGGUUCAAUAGUGAAAGACGGUUUUGCUGUCACUUAUAGCUGGAUCCGCGCCGCAUUAGCUAGUUGGUAAGGUAACGGCUUACCAAGGCAACGAUGCGUAGCCGACCUGAGAGGGUGAUCGACCACACUGGAACUGAGACACGGUCCAGACUCCUACGGGAGGCAGCAGUAGGGAAUCUUCCGCAAUGGGCGAAAGCCUGACGGAGCAACGCCGCGUGAGCGAUGAAGGUCUUCGGAUCGUAAAACUCUGUUAUUAGGGAAGAACAAAUGUGUAAGUAACUAUGCACGUCUUGACGGUACCUAAUCAGAAAGCCACGGCUAACUACGUG
This 497-nucleotide ribosomal RNA is filed under the name uncultured bacterium. Its description in RNAcentral is "partial 16S ribosomal RNA". It matches the Rfam family "Bacterial small subunit ribosomal RNA", at positions 28 to 507 of the family's 1533-position model. The record is from RNAcentral.